Molecule: microRNA precursor, 114 nt
Filed under: Nicotiana tabacum (common tobacco)
Lineage: Eukaryota; Viridiplantae; Streptophyta; Magnoliopsida; Solanales; Solanaceae
Description: miR482b stem-loop (nta-MIR482b)
Gene: nta-MIR482b
Source: miRBase by way of RNAcentral
GUGUUUAAGGGAGCUUUUGGAGUGGGUGGAGUGGUAAGAUAUCAUAUUUAUGUUGAAUCAUAAUAAUUGAAAUCUUGCCAAUGCCAUCCAUUCCUAUGGCUUCCAAUCAUUUCU